CCUUUCACUCGGCUCUCAUUGUUCUUUCUUGCUGCCUUGUGAAGAAAGAUGUGUUUGCUUCCCCUUCCACCAUGAUUGUAAGUUUCCUGAUGCCUCCCCAGCGCUGCAGAACUCCUGGCUGCUGCACUACAUGAUUACGGCCCCAGAGGAAAACCUGCAGGCCUGCUUCCCUCGAGUCUGAGAGGUGUGCAUCACUUCCCUGCCAGCACAGAAACCACUGCAAAUGCACAGAUGGAAAACUCACACUUAAGGACUGGAGUGACAGCAGCAGCAGCAGCAGCAGCAGCAGCAGCAGCAGCAGGCCACCUCCGCAUCCAGAAUCCUGGCACAGCCUCCUCAUUCCUGUCUGAUGAUAUUCUCCAUAUCCAGAGAGGAUUUGUAUUUAAAGCUGGACUUUAAAAUGUACAGUUGUAAAAUGUACAACUGAAUGUUGUCACUUCAAACACCAUAAAUAUA
This 456-nucleotide long non-coding RNA is filed under the name Homo sapiens (human). RNAcentral describes it as "HSALNT0265160". Lineage: Eukaryota; Metazoa; Chordata; Mammalia; Primates; Hominidae. The record is from RNAcentral.